UGCCAAGGCUGCAAAGGCUGCCAGUUGGA
This 29-nucleotide non-coding RNA is filed under the name Mus musculus (house mouse). Lineage: Eukaryota; Metazoa; Chordata; Mammalia; Rodentia; Muridae. The record is from RNAcentral.